Molecule: long non-coding RNA, 1171 nt
Organism: Mytilus californianus (California mussel)
Lineage: Eukaryota; Metazoa; Mollusca; Bivalvia; Mytilida; Mytilidae
Exons: 2
Source: RefSeq, a predicted model, not a curated record
CUUUUGGCUGUGAAUGAGAAAAUACACAAAAACAUAUGAAUAUGCAUGUACGUGACAAUUUUUAAACAUUAUACAAAUCUAUAAAUUCAUAGAAUGAUAAUGUUCAUUUGCUUUCGUAUUCUAUUUAUACAGCAUUUUAUCUUCAAAAUACAAAUAUUAUAAACCCAUACAGCAAGUCCUUAAACAGGAUAAACAUCAACAAAGUAUCAAGAUAUUUAUUUUCUGUCUCAAGGUGUACAAUAUUUUAUAAGGCUAAGUGUCUUCCAAAUACAAAUAUGACAUACCGAUAAAACAAGUCCGUAGACAUCAACAAUAUAUCGAUUUGAUUUGAUUUUGAUUUUUGGUGUUUUAACGCCACUUUUAAGCACCGCUUUUGGGCUAUUUCGUGGCGGCCAGUUUUUAUUGGUGGAGGAAGCCGGAGUGCCCGGUGAAAACCACCGACCUUCGAUAGGAAAACUGACAAUCCUAGUCAAGUAAGAUUGGAGUCGAGUGCAUUCGCACGAGCGGGGUUCGAACUCACAACCUCAGUGUUGACUGGCUAGUGAAUACAGUAGUAACUACUUAGACCACUCGGCCACCGAGGCCCCUUACAAUGUAUCGAGAUUUUUAUCUUCUAUCUAAAGGUUGCACUUUGUAAUUACAGUUGUUUGACAAACCACGCCUCUUUUUGGGAGAUAUAUUAUAUUCACAGAUACUUUGGUUUUUUUACGUACUGGUUCCAAGGUAUGAUCUUUAUGUUUCAUCUUAUAGAGUCAUAUCUUGGGAAUGUUAAUCGUAUAAAUACACGUGGAUAGCGGCGAUAUUGAAUUCUGAUGAAGACCCAAAGUGAAGGGAGAGGUAUUACAGAAUUUAGUACAAGUUUAAACUCUUAGAAGUUCGAGGCAUAUAAAUGUUGAAAAUAUGUCGCACAGUACCAUGUUUUGACCUUUGAAUAAAAUAGUAGUACUUAUCAACGUUCCAUUCUAGGAUAUAUUUUUUUACGAAACUUCAUCGUAACAUUGGCACAGUUUUAGCUGUAAAUGGAGUUUCAAUGGGAAAUUGCAUCGUCUAUAUUGACAGAAGUGUACCCUAUAGAUAUAAAAUAUCUUUGUAUGGCUUAGUAUUUUGGAAUUAUUUUCCAUUUUCAAAAAAAGAUUUCAUGGGCGACUUAAUCAAUUAAAUAUUUUGUCAA